GGCUUCUAAUCAUUUUUGUUGCUGUCUGCUGUUUAUGGACGGUUGGCAACCUUGUUAUAAAGGGACCUAUGUGUGAAACGAGUUGGUGUUUGCUGGUAGGCUGGUGGCAUCAGAUCCAGCUGAUCCAGCAUGCUUGCUACAUGAUGGUGACAGAUGGCAGGAGCAUUGUGAAAUCCCUGGGGCAUCCGACAGAAGGUAAACUGCUGAUCUUUCAAUGUGAAUGCAAAUCUAUCUUGGGAAUCUGGAUAGAGAGGUAU
Molecule: long non-coding RNA, 257 nt
Filed under: Crocodylus porosus (Australian saltwater crocodile)
Lineage: Eukaryota; Metazoa; Chordata; Crocodylia; Crocodylidae
Description: lncRNA (ENSCPRG00005018309.1)
Source: RNAcentral